CUUGAGUCUUCUAAAGAAAUCUCAGCGGCUAACAGCAACAUACAAGGUGAAAAUCUAACACUUAGUGGCCUGAUUCAACAGGCCGCUGAGGUGGUUUAUAUGGAAUGGGAAUCAAGUGCAGAUCGUUUUUCCUUCUAACUGUAGCCCCAAAAGACUCAAUCAUAUCCAGAGUUUCUGCCUUCAAUCCACCAGGAAGUUUCCAAUCAAAAUGAUAUAGAAAUUGUGCAAGUGGAAGC
Molecule: unclassified non-coding RNA, 236 nt
Filed under: Hevea brasiliensis (rubber tree)
Lineage: Eukaryota; Viridiplantae; Streptophyta; Magnoliopsida; Malpighiales; Euphorbiaceae
Source: RNAcentral